CAUCCCCCAGGCGGACUGUUGCAUAAGAGUGCUCAGUGUUUGACAACAAACCAUGCAUACAAUUACAAUCAGGCCUAUGCUGACACCGUUGCCCAUGGUUCUGCUCAUAUGGAUAACUUUCAACACACUUGUCUGAUUACGGUUACCUUACGGGAUUGUAACUCAUUGUGAAAAGUGUAGGCACACGGUGCAUGCAGAUAAGCCGGUUUGAAACUGCAGCCUAGAGGAGGACAUGAGAGUAGCUGCCAGGAGGAGCCGCCCGCCUGACGCCCGUGUGCACAGCCCCUGGUUCACUGGCUGGUUCAGAGCCCAUCAAUCACUGGCCCGUGUGGACCUCAGGUUGGUGGCUCUUGGCUUGUCUGCUGUGUUUGAAUGCUGUUAGCAGGAGCCAUCUGCUGCUGUUUACGGUUCAUUAGCCCCGAUACUGAAGACAGCCAGGCUACCCCCACAGCAACAGGUACAAAAGCCGGCCUCUUCUGACUGCUACAAUAAACGUCCCAUCACGUUGAUCCGGUAUCCAAUUAGAAUAAUACAUGAGGAAAAUCGGUGUUUUCUUUUAGGGCAAACUAACUGUGACUAAAGGAGUACACAUGAUUCCUGGUGGCGAUGGUGGGAUGAAAGUCGUAGUGUUCUGGAAAAACUCAUACUCUAAUGCAUACCUUCCCAGAAGUCCGUAGGCAUACUGGGAACCAGCCAGUAGUAACGUGAUCUCGUCCCUCUGCAUGGUUAUGACACACUCUUCCAGGCCCUGCGGGUGAAGAGAAGCCCAAUGUUGUAUUCUAAAUGCACGCUGACAUGUUGGAUUUGCAAAUCGCUUUUUAUUAGUUUGUUACUAAUACACUUUAGGGUGUUGCUAUUUGGUAUGCCAGUGACCUGAUAUCCCAGGUCAGAGUCAAGAGGAACCGCACCUGAAUGACAUCCGCCUCUCCUAUGACGAACACCAGCUUUCUGUCCUUCUCCACAACACUGCGGUCCUCCAGGAAGCCCUGCAGUUUGACGGUCACUUCCUGGCCCCAGGUGGGGUGUGGGGCAUGUGGGGGCCCAGGUUGUAGGACCUUCUUCCUCAGUAGGCAGUCAUCUGCGUAACACAGAGAAAAGGUCCCGUUGAUUGAAUUGGGUUUACCUGCUGGUUGCGCAGGAGCUAAGUUUUAAGAGUUAGUCUACCUGUAAAAAAAAUUAUUGAUACAUUUGUGUAUAUACAUUGAUGCACCAACCCCUCCCAAGAGUUGCAGUAACGUGCUUUGUAUUUAUUGUAUUCACAUAUUGCCAAUCCUACCUGUAAUAUUCUGCCAAUCUUUUGCCUUGAACAAUUCCUCAAACUUCCAUUCCUCCAGCACAUAAUCUGGAAAAAGACUUUCUCCAGAACUGUCCCUCUCCAACACCACAUCUGUCUGGGACGGGUCCUGGAAUCGGACCGUUUUCCAGCUGUUUGUUUUCCGAAGUUUCUUCCCAUCCGCACGUCCUCCGACUCUCCGGUUCUCUCGGCCUGAAUAGUUUUCAAGUGUGUGACUUUCUCCUUCUUCACGUUGGCUCCCCAUCUCAUCCUCCCCUUCCCUACACUGCUCCUCUCGUCCACCCAGGCCCGGCGUCUGGUGAUCCUCCAUCUGGGGGGAAAGGUCCCUCUCUGCAGGCCCAGGGGAGGCCUCGGGUUCAGCAGGGUCCUCUGGCUUCACCAGGGACAGCUUGGGCUCCUCAGCGGACCAGUCUGCUUCCAUCUCCCGAUCGAGAGCCAGGGACACCAUCUGGGGACAGCUCCAGAGACGAGAUGAUCCUCCCAGCUCUUCUUGUUAGUUUUGGGUCUAAAGUCUUUUUUUUCAGUCCUGGGUUGGAAGCGAUGUGGUAUUGAAGUGCUUAAAUCUGCAAUCCAAGAGAGUUAACAGAAAGUAUUCACUAAAAGGGAGCAUCCGCAUCUCUUACUCUGAGCUUCAUGUACGGAGGUCUGUCCAAUCCGACACAGUUCACCGCUACUCUGCUGCACUUUGACCUCUCGCCUGCAUGCUUGUAUUUCCCCAGUGUUGAGGACGCAACCAGAAAUGAACAAUGUAAAGAAAUGGUUCCACGUAUGAAGCAAUCACAGUCAGCAGGCUUGCGCGGUGGUAAUCUGCAGGAUUACAAGACCAAAACCUAAUCUGCCAGCAUGUCCAUAAGCUUCUUAAUGACUUCAUCAAACUGCGACAUAGGUUCUACCGUCGUGACGUUGGUGUCAUGGUUUUGGAAGGUUUGCUUGUUAUUCGAUGAAAAGCAAAAAGUGAAGGACUGUGAGAGUGGUGUUUGUCACAACAAGUCGUGUAUACUUCCUGUUUUUAUGACUCACAUUAACUUGAUGCUUGAAAUUAACCAGAUGAAUAAAUGGCUUCUGAUGACCCUA
Molecule: long non-coding RNA, 2368 nt
Organism: Gadus macrocephalus (Pacific cod)
Lineage: Eukaryota; Metazoa; Chordata; Actinopteri; Gadiformes; Gadidae
Exons: 3
Source: RefSeq, a predicted model, not a curated record